Molecule: long non-coding RNA, 1422 nt
Filed under: Carica papaya (papaya)
Lineage: Eukaryota; Viridiplantae; Streptophyta; Magnoliopsida; Brassicales; Caricaceae
Description: long non-coding RNA (CPAP_LNC013697)
Source: RNAcentral
AUUAAACUUCCAAAAGAAUGGGACAAAGAAUUGAUAUGGGUAAUAACACUACUGUUGAGGAACUCAAAAAGUGAUUUAUAGGUGUAAACACCCAAAGGCUCUAGGCUCAAGAUGAAGACUAGGUGUACAAAUACAACAGAGGCCAUUAUGUGAGGAAAUCAGGAGGUCACCUCUACCAAAACUCCAAAGAAAUCAUAACCAUGCUCCUUUUGGAAAUUGAAAGGGAAAUAAGUAAUUCAGAGAUACAAAUCAAAUAAUAAGGCAAGUAAAGGAUUUACUCCACAUGAAAUUCUAAAUAUAGGUUCACUUCCUUAGCAAAACCUUCAAUUACAAGUAUGCUAUGAGACAUGGAUAAAACUAGGGAGAGGCCCCAUCAAAUUUUUGCCUAUAAGAAACUGUAUUACUUAAAACUACCGGUUAAUUUUUCUUUUUAAAGAAAAGAAUAAAGUAUUAAAGAGCACCAAUGGGGUGGAAGCUCAUAUAGGAAAUAGUUACAAAUAUGAUAACAUCAGUCAAAUCCCUAAAUACUCAUAGGUGCAUAAAGGAUGAUUCUUAAUUAAAGAAAAAAAAAAACCUAGGAUUUGGAACCAAGUAUCUUUGAUUAUAUAAAAAGACAAGUCUAUACCCUGAAAACUAAUAUUUCUUUCUUUCUAAAUUACCCACAAUGUAGUCAAAGGAAUAAUAUUCAAGUGCCUAUUGUAGCUUAACCCAUGGAUGCCUCUCCAAGCCCAUAUAUCCUCUUUGAUUGAGCCAGCCACUAGCCACUUCACCCCCAACAAACUAUAAACCAAUGACCAAUGCUGAUAGAGAGAAAGAGGGGGAAAAAAAAGAAACCAUAGGAGGAGAUGUUUGACAAACUCUACAGUUCUAUUACAUAGAUAGUAGCCACUCAUGACGACCUUUCCCCUUUUAAAAACCCACCACCUAAUCUAAAGGACCUUCUAAUAGACAUCUAAAAUAUUACUUUUCUAUAAGCAAAUCUAGGAAGGCAAUUAUUGGAAGCCUUCUUAUUACAUAGCAUUAGUGUCAAGCAUACCACUCAUUACCGAUCAUAUAAAAGUAUGGAGUCAACAAUGGCAUCAUCAUACCAAGGCCUCAACACCACCAGCUGCUGCAAUUGCUUCCCGAUUUCUGUCAUCAAAUGAUAAAUUCCACAAUGCACCAGCUGCUUCUUGCCUGUUUCACAAGUAGACAAAACGGUAGUAUCAAAAGAGGAAAAAAAACCAAAAAAACAAUUGUUACAGGAAGAAGUUGAUGAAAGAAACAAGUUAAAUUGGAAAAUCUGAGCAUUGUGAAUAUUAUGCAAACAUUAUUAUGAAUUCGACAUUGUGCCUCAAAACAGAUUUCUUCAUCACUCACCCUACACUGUUAAUUCUUAAAGAAAGAUAUCAUAAAAAACGAAAAUGAAAAACUAAAUCCAAG